GGACAUGUCAAAAUACGAAAUUGGCCCAUGUUAUACUAAUGGUGUCUCGGUGCAGUCCAAUCGACACCUCUAAUCUUAACUUGUAUGUACUUGAAAGUAGUUGGAGGGGGCUAGGAUUCAUUAGCUUGAAGGUACACAUUUUGUCCCAGCCACUAUAUUUUUAAAAAUUAAUUAAAUACAAGAAUAAUGGAACGAGAGAUGUACAAUGAGAUUUUAAUAAUAAGAAAAAAGUAGGGGUGGAGAGAGAGAUUGCAGAGGUACAAUAUAACUAGGCCGGGCGAGGGGGAGGGGGCCUAAUGGAGAGGCUCUUAAAAGGAUGCCACAGAAUAUCAAAAUCUUUUCAAGUCUGUAAAUUGUAUGACAAAACAAAUCACAUUGCACAAAUCCAGAUAAGGAAAAGUAACGCAAAGGGAGAAGAGUAGACUCUAAUUUUGUACUACACUAGGCAAAUUUUUGGAUCUCUCUCUCUCUCUCCACUCUGCAAACACAAUUAAUUCACCAAAUCCCCUGUUUCAACCAUUCAUAGCCUUUGCUGUCGCAAAUUAUUUUACAAGAUCUGCCAAUUCCAACUACUUCCUUCAUAAUUUUGUGUUUUCGAGCAAGCCCAUAAGACAAAUCAUGGAGUUGAAUCAGAUGCAGAGGAGUUUCCUUGAAUACACUGAUGCUUUAUUUCGUGAGGUAAAAUAAAGGGAAAAAUGUUUUUUUUUCCUUGAAUUUGAAUAUGUGAUGUCGUUUGUGUUUGUUUUAUAUGUUUAUUUGGAUUUUUGAUUGGUGGGUUUUUGGUUUGUAGGN
This 792-nucleotide long non-coding RNA is filed under the name Olea europaea (common olive). RNAcentral's name for it is "long non-coding RNA (OEUR_LNC011801)". The record is from RNAcentral. Lineage: Eukaryota; Viridiplantae; Streptophyta; Magnoliopsida; Lamiales; Oleaceae.